UACGGAGGGUGCAAGCGUUAAUCGGAAUUACUGGGCGUAAAGCGUGCGCAGGCGGUUUGUUAAGUCUGCUGUGGAAUCCCCGAGCUCAACUUGGGAAUUGCAGUGGAUACUGGCAAGCUGGAGUACGGUAGAGGAAGGUGGAAUUCCCGGUGUAGCAGUGAAAUGCGUAGAGAUCGGGAGGAACACCAGUGGCGAAGGCGGCCUUCUGGACCAGUACUGACGCUCAUGCACGAAAGCGUGGGGAGCAAACAGG
RNAcentral lists this ribosomal RNA (253 nucleotides) under uncultured bacterium. RNAcentral describes it as "partial 16S ribosomal RNA". It matches the Rfam family "Bacterial small subunit ribosomal RNA", at positions 524 to 776 of the family's 1533-position model. The record is from RNAcentral.